Molecule: long non-coding RNA, 921 nt
Filed under: Olea europaea subsp. europaea
Lineage: Eukaryota; Viridiplantae; Streptophyta; Magnoliopsida; Lamiales; Oleaceae
Source: RNAcentral
AUAUGUUCUCCUCCAAUUAUCGCUUCGGCUAUUUCGGAGGAAAUCGCCAGAAUGGGCUCGUCCAUCCGCACUAGUUCCAACCCCCUCCCCGAGCUACCACUACCCUCAAAAGCCAUUUUUCAGAAAUGAAAGGGUUUCAAACACUUACUGAAACUCACGAAAUUUGGAGUUCCACAGCCAAAAAUGAUUAGCAGAGUCUGUAGAGUCACCGAAAAUUGGAAUUUCUCACCGAAAAAUGCUUGACGAAUGCGGAAAAGUGCAAGAUUUUUUAGAGCAAAGGAAGUUUCUGAUUUUGCAAAAGUGAAAAACUACCCAAAUGCUCAAGUCCACCUUUUAUAGAGCGACCCAGCUAAUCCCCACCGUUCAAUUCAAAUGCAAUCAAUCAAGGUCGUCUGUCGCAUCAUCAAUCUAGGCUGUUAAAAUGAAAUGCCAGAUUUGAUCUACGCUUAAGAUCUGGCUGUGCCCCUUAACUAGCAUAAAAAGUGUCGACUUGAUCACCAUCGGUCGUCUACAAUAAAUAGUCGCAGUAGCCUUUUAGGGGAAUGGGCGUCAUACCCAACUGUCACCUUGGAAAUACGCGACAGCUGUCAAAUCAUUUAACGUCAGAGAUGCCUACCUCAGAUCGAGCUCUUCACUCAGCUUUAGAAAGCUUAAACACACCAAACGUGGAAUCCCCUGUGGAUCAUCGCCUCGGUAGCUACUUUCCCUCCUAAGCUUUACAAAGCUUUAGUUAUCUCCCAACGCGUCGUCCCCUGUGGAUCAGCGCACCGGUGGUAGAUGAGCUUCUAACUCAGUUUUACAAAGUUUAGACACACCUGACACGGAGUCCCCGGUGGGUCAUCGUCUCGAUAGCUGCGUUCCCUCUUAAGUUUUACAAAGCUUUAGCCAUCUCCUAAUGCGUCGUCCCCUGUGGGUCAGCGU